This 496-nucleotide ribosomal RNA is filed under the name uncultured bacterium. RNAcentral's name for it is "partial 16S ribosomal RNA". It matches the Rfam family "Bacterial small subunit ribosomal RNA", at positions 29 to 507 of the family's 1533-position model. The record is from RNAcentral.
AUGAACGCUGGCGGCGUGCCUAAUACAUGCAAGUCGAGCGAACAGACGAGGAGCUUGCUCCUCUGACGUUAGCGGCGGACGGGUGAGUAACACGUGGAUAACCUACCUAUAAGACUGGGAUAACUUCGGGAAACCGGAGCUAAUACCGGAUAAUAUAUUGAACCGCAUGGUUCAAUAGUGAAAGACGGUUUUGCUGUCACUUAUAGAUGGAUCCGCGCCGCAUUAGCUAGUUGGUAAGGUAACGGCUUACCAAGGCAACGAUGCGUAGCCGACCUGAGAGGGUGAUCGGCCACACUGGAACUGAGACACGGUCCAGACUCCUACGGGAGGCAGCAGUAGGGAAUCUUCCGCAAUGGGCGAAAGCUUGACGGAGCAACCCCGCGUGAGUGAUGAAGGUCUUCGGAUCGUAAAACUCUGUUAUUAGGGAAGAACAAAUGUGUAAGUAACUAUGCACGUCUUGACGGUACCUAAUCAGAAAGCCACGGCUAACUACGUG